Molecule: ribosomal RNA, 254 nt
Filed under: uncultured bacterium
Lineage: Bacteria
Description: partial 16S ribosomal RNA
Rfam family: Bacterial small subunit ribosomal RNA
Source: RNAcentral
GACGUAGGAGGCGAGCGUUAUCCGGAUUCACUGGGCGUAAAGCGCAUGUAGGCGGUUGCACAAGUCCGUUGUUAAAGCCCCUGGCUCAACUGGGGGAGGUCAAUGGAGACUGUGCGACUUGAGGGCAAUAGAGGCACGUGGAACUCCCGGUGUAGCGGUGAAAUGCGUAGAUAUCUGGAGGAAUACCGGUGGCGAAGGCGGCAUCCUGGACCGGCAUUGACGCUGAGGAGCGAAAGCCAGGGGAGCAAAGCGGG